GCCGGAUGAUCUGGUGAAGCCUUACCACGGGGAUCUCCGGAUGCAGUUCGAGCAGGAGCAGGUUCUUGAGGCGCAUUACAAUACCGGCGAUGAUCCGUCCGAGGGUCCCCCCAGCUUUGUUCGGUGUGGCAUCAAUGUGAAUGCAACACCACAUAUGCGCCGCGGACCUGAAGGACCAAGGACUCUUUGUAAUGCAUGUGGGAUUGCUCGGACGAAGUGUUCAGGUGAAACUGGAGAUAGAUUUGACUGGAUUCACUAGAGAAGCAUCAACUUUCAUCGACUGAUCCAGUUGGAACAACUUGUUUCUGCUGCACGCUUACUCAUGUCUCGUUCCUCUCCCAUUGCAGAAACAACAAAGAUCAGACUGCAAUCUUCUGUGCCACCACCAAGUGUGUUCUCCAGAUUCAGCUCAUGAAGUGGAUAAGUGGUAAGGAACAUAACAUUUGGUAGGGCAGAGACACGGAACCACCAGAGACCAUGUGCAGCACCUCCAUGAAGAUGUUGAAAGCUAAGUGGUCCCAAUGAACUUUUGUGGUUCCACAUGGACUCUAUUAAAAUUCCAACAUCUACUUCCUUGUCUU
Non-coding RNA from Musa acuminata subsp. malaccensis (wild Malaysian banana), 581 nucleotides. NCBI's taxonomy places the organism in Eukaryota, Viridiplantae, Streptophyta, Magnoliopsida, Zingiberales, Musaceae. The record is from RefSeq and is a predicted model, not a curated record.